AGAGAGAGAGAGAGAGAAACUCUCCUUUGCCUCUCUCCCUACAUCUCUUUUUCCCUCUCUAUCUCACUAUGUCUCUCUCUCACUCUAUAUCUUUCCCAUUCUCUCUCUCUCUCCCCCUCCCAUGCAAUCCUAUCGUUUCAAAAUUUUUUUAUUUCUCUCUUUCUCCCUCCCUCCCUCUCUUUCCUAUUUUUUUCCCUGUACUUUUUAAAUUUUUAUGUUUUUAGCAUUUAGGAUUAGAAUUUUAUUUUAUUUACAAUUUAAGGACUUAUACUUUCAACCUUUUACAAUUUAGGAAUUUAAUGAUGUGGCGCUGAUAAUGCACGUGCCUUCAUGAUAUAGCGUUGAUGUCUACAUACCACGUCAUAUGGUGUGCUGACAUUAGCAUGUCACGUCAGACGUGGCACUAAUGUCAACACAUCAUGCCAGAGCAGUUAACAGCGUUACCUAAUUUUUUCUCGAUUUACUAACACAAUAAUAUAAUUCUUGAUUUGCAAUAAAACUUAAUUCAAUUUUCAAAUCGAAAAUGCACAAAAGCACAUGAUAUUAAAUUGUACUUUUCCCUUUAUUAUUUUUAUUUUUCUAGCUUUUCCUCUAUAGUUUUUCUAAUUUUAUUUCUUUUAAUUUUCCUAAUUUAUUCCUAAUUAGUGUUAUAUAUUCUUUCCAAAUAGAAUUGAUGUAAACACUAUAAAUAAGAAAGAAUCUUCAUUUAAUAGUUAGUGAUUAAAGAAAUAAUAGCAAAGCGCUGUCAAAUUUUAUCUCAAUUCUCAUCAAAAUAUACUUGUGCUUUGUGGCGAAUUAUCUAUCAAGGUGUUGUCACACUUCAUUCUUUUUGGUCUAAAAAUGUGGCAAUCAACCUUUAUAAUUUUGGUGGCGAUUGUCUUAUA
This 884-nucleotide unclassified non-coding RNA is filed under the name Hevea brasiliensis (rubber tree). The record is from RNAcentral. Lineage: Eukaryota; Viridiplantae; Streptophyta; Magnoliopsida; Malpighiales; Euphorbiaceae.